Non-coding RNA from Stegodyphus mimosarum, 73 nucleotides. Lineage: Eukaryota; Metazoa; Arthropoda; Arachnida; Araneae; Eresidae. The record is from Rfam.
GCCUUCGUGGUGUAGCGGUCUGCAUGCACGACGCGUAAUCUAGAGGUCCGUGGUUCGAUUCCCGGCAAAGGCA